RNAcentral lists this unclassified non-coding RNA (200 nucleotides) under soil metagenome. RNAcentral's name for it is "partial contains internal transcribed spacer 2 and large subunit ribosomal RNA". The record is from RNAcentral.
CGUCAUUUAUAGACCAUCAAGCCCUGCUUGGCAUUGGGUAUCGUCCCUGCGGGACGGGCCCUAAAGACCUUGGCGGUGGCCGUGAGCCUCAAGCGUAGUAGUUAUUCUUCCCGCUUACAGAGUCUCGCGACCGCUCGCUGCUAAAGCCCAUCAAACUCAAGGUUGACCUCGGAUCAGGUAGGGAUACCCGCUGAACUUAA